Molecule: ribosomal RNA, 480 nt
Filed under: uncultured bacterium
Lineage: Bacteria
Description: partial 16S ribosomal RNA
Rfam family: Bacterial small subunit ribosomal RNA
Source: RNAcentral
GACGAACGCUGGCGGCGUGCUUAACACAUGCAAGUCGAGCGGAAAGGCUCCUUCGGGGGUACUCGAGCGGCGAACGGGUGAGUAACACGUGAGUAAUCUGCCCUGCGCUCUGGGAUAGCCACCGGAAACGGUGAUUAAUACCGGAUACGACCACUUCUCGCAUGGGAUGGUGGUGGAAAGUUUUUCGGCCAGGGAUGUGCUCGCGGCCUAUCAGCUUGAUGGUGAGGUAAUGGCUCACCAUGGCUUCGACGGGUAGCCGGCCUGAGAGGGUGACCGGUCACACUGGGACUGAGACACGGCCCAGACUCCUACGGGAGGCAGCAGUGGGGAAUAUUGGACAAUGGGCGGAAGCCUGAUCCAGCAACGCCGCGUGAGGGAUGACGGCCUUCGGGUUGUAAACCUCUUUCAGCAGGGACGAAGCGCAAGUGACGGUACCUGCAGAAGAAGCACCGGCCAACUACGUGCCAGCCGCCGCUGUAA